RNAcentral lists this ribosomal RNA (727 nucleotides) under uncultured bacterium. RNAcentral describes it as "bacterial SSU rRNA". It matches the Rfam family "Bacterial small subunit ribosomal RNA", at positions 28 to 762 of the family's 1533-position model. The record is from RNAcentral.
GACGAACGCUGGCGGCGUGCCUAACACAUGCAAGUCACGGGGGUAGCAAUACCAACCGGCGAACGGGUGAGCAACACGUGAGCAAUCUGCCGAUCUCUGGGGGAUAGCCGGCCCAACGGCCGGGUAAUACCGCAUACGCUCAUCGGGGGACAUCCCCUGGUGAGGAAACCUCCGGGGGAGAUCGAGGAGCUCGCGUCCUAUCAGCUAGUUGGCGGGGUAACGGCCCACCAAGGCGACGACGGGUAGCUGGUCUGAGAGGAUGGCCAGCCACAUUGGGACUGCGACACGGCCCAGACUCCUACGGGAGGCAGCAGUGGGGAAUAUUGCGCAAUGGACGAAAGUCUGACGCAGCGACGCCGCGUGUGGGAUGAAGCUCUUCGGGGGUGUAAACCACUGUUGCCCCGAGACGAAACCUCCCUUUUUCGAGGGGACUGACGGUAUCGGGUGAGGAAGCACCGGCUAACUCUGUGCCAGCAGCCGCGGUAAUACAGAGGGUGCGAGCGUUGUCCGGAAUCACUGGGCGUAAAGGGCGCGUAGGUGGCUUGUUAAGCGUGUGGUGAAAAGCCCGGGGCUCAACCCCGGGUCUGCCGUGCGAACUGGCGAGCCUUGAGCAGAGUAGAGCGGGUGGAAUUCCGGGUGUAGCGGUGGAAUUGCGUAGAUAUCCGGAAGAACACCGGUGGCGAAGGCGGCCCGCUGGGCUCUUGCUGACACUGAGGCGCGACAGCGU